This is a long non-coding RNA of Vespa velutina, 5350 nucleotides long. RefSeq lists it as uncharacterized. The record is from RefSeq and is a predicted model, not a curated record. The transcript is spliced from 3 exons. NCBI's taxonomy places the organism in Eukaryota, Metazoa, Arthropoda, Insecta, Hymenoptera, Vespidae.
GUUCUAGCGUACCUCGGCUAGCCGCUUCGGCAACCUGCCUAUACCUGCUUGUGUUCGUCGAGUUCGUAUUCGCGAGUGCACACGCUUGAAUUUCGGAUGCGUUUGUCUGGAUGGUCGCGUACAAUGUAAUGUCGAUUAGAUCCAUCAAUAUCGAAGAUAUCGAAUAGAAUCAUUUUCAAGAAUUUUGUUUAAUGAAAGUCAAUUUAUUAAUUACCGUUAUCAUCGUUCCUCUUAUUGUUGCCACAUUAUCAUAUUCAAUACAUUUUUAUGAGAGAUCGGUGCCAAUGAAAGUGACGUGAUUCGAACGAUAUCACGUUACUUUUGAAAUCGUGAUACGUGCUUAAAGCUUAGCGACUGUAUUUAUAGAGAGAGAGAGCAUCGACAAGCAUUCUCCUACGUAAUACCAGCGAUCGAUUCACAUUAAGUGCACGCUACCAAUCAUUCUCUCACGAACGAGAGAGAGAGAGGGAGAGACAGAGAGAGAGAGAGAGAGAGGGAGAGACAGAGAGAGAGUGAGAGAGAGAGAGAGAGAAAGAGAGAGUGCCUCCAAUCAAGAAAAUUUGCAUUAUUCCGUGGUAUAAGAGAAUAAACAAUCUUACGAAGCGUGAUGAAGCGUCCACGUGUUACGGAAUUUCUUAGAAAAAAUGAAAGAAAAAAAGAAAAAGAAAAGGGAAGAAACGUGUUCGGUCGUCAUACUUUCGUGGAGAAUGUGAACCAAGGCAAAGUUAGCGUGAUACUCCGUCGUUCGUGUUAAAUUUGAUUUGGAUUAGGUCAGGAUACUUCGCAUUUCUUUUUUCUUUCUUUCUCUCUCUCUCUCUCUCCCUCUCUCUUUCCCUCUUUCUUUUCUUGAAUAACGUUGCCAGUGAAAAAAAAAAAAAAAAAAAAAAAAAAAAAAAAAAAAGAAACGAAAGAAAAAAGAAAAAGGGAAAUUACGUAAUUGCGAAUGCGAGUGUCCUUUCUCGCUCAAAGGACACUCGAGAAACACGUUCAUCGAUGAAAUGAGUCCUUCAGAGGGGAUUCUUCGCGGAGGAGGGGAGGGAGUGACGGAGAGAGUGCGUUCACCUUGUCCUUAAAGAAGUCGCUGGGUCAGUGUAAACGGCCUGAAGCUGUGAAAAGGGAGCAAGAAAAUGGUAGGAAAGGUGAAAGAAGAUAAAGAGCAGACGAAGAGGAGAGAAAGAGAGAAAAAGAUGCGAAUAUACGUUGAUGGUGAAGGCAGAAAGGAGGUCAACGACGAGUGCUUUCGUAAGACUCGUCGUCACGUUGUCCCUUGAAAACUGGUCUCUCAUCGUCCGAGUUCGUUUCGUUGCAUUUCAUAGAAAGAAAGAAAGAAAGAAAGAAAGAAAGAAAGAGGGAAAGAGAGAAAGAGAGAAAAGAAGGACGAGGCUUUCUUGAACGAAGAAAAGGAGAAAAGAUAUGAUCAAAGACGAGACGAAGAGAAUAUCUUUUUCAAUAUAUUUAUAUAAAUGUAUAUAUUAUGUAUGUAUAUACAUACAUGUAUACAUAUGUAUAUGUAUAUAUAUAUAUAUAUAUAUAUAUAUGUAUAUGUCAUAGUUUAAAAUAUUAAAAAAAAAAAAACUACAAGGGAAUCGUCGUUUCGUCUCGACCAAUAUGAAAAGCUAUCUAUUCUAUUUCAAUAGUGCAUCGUGAUACAUAGUACAUUACAUUUUCCGGAGACUUUACUCCGUUGGUUAGAUUUGUUGGAAAGGAAGGAAGUUCAUGAAAGUUCGAUGACGUUUGCAGAUCCAUUGGUACAGCACGAUUGGCAAGUUGUUUCGACAUAAUCGAUUCGAUUCUCGUUCGUUUAUUGGAUUUAUCUUUAACGAUGCUAUCGUGAUUAUUUUUUUCUUCAGUACGAUCUUGCCAACAGACAAUAAAUUUCUCCACUAAGUUACCGUAUCCCUUGACCUUUUGUUUUUUCAUUUCUGAUCGAUUGUCCUCCAUUAUGGUCGAUCAUAUUAAAAAGCGACGAAUGUUCUUCAUUGUUAACAUUGAGAGUUCAUUGAAAAUAUUUUUUAAUCAAUGAACAAGAUUUUUCUUAAUAUCAAUAUUGUAUAACAACGAUGAGCUAAUCAUUGUUUAUAUAUAUAUAUAUAUAUAUAUGUAUAUAUGUAUAUGUAUGUAUUAUUCACUGUUGUCGUCUUGAUAAGUAACGUGUGUCGGAUGAGACAAGUUUUAUUGUGCGUCUGAUUUGUUGACGGUGAGAAGGUCGUAGUACCGCGUGUCAAGUUCACAGUCUUCUCUUCGCAAACUUUGGAAGAACUAGUUCCUCGAGAAACUCGGUGCUGUUCAGACGUUAGUCGAACAAAGCGUACCAAGUUCGUUAUCGAACUUCCGCGAAUUGCAUAUCGCGUGUUCCGGUACUUUCUUAUUAUAUCGUUGCUUUUUUAUCGUCUGUUUUAUAUUUUCUCUUUAUAUAUAUAUAUAUAUAUAUAUAUAUAUAUAUAUAUAUAUAAUAUAUGUGUAAUAAUGAUAAUUCUCUUAUAAUGUGAUUAUACAAGUAACGAUAUGCUUACGAUAUCUUUGUUUUCUUUUCAUCCAACAACUUCUCUUAAGUGUUUGUUUUCUAUUAUUACUCUCUAUAUCGACGACGUUAUAGUUUCAGUUUCUAACGAAAUGUUGGACGUACCGUUAGAAAGAGGAAAGAGAGUACUCGUAGGGCAGUACACGAAUGUUGCCACAGUAAACUGUGUUAUAUCCAACUCUCUACAGUGUAUUCGUGUUUUGUUGCCACGCAUGCGUAACAUUUCUAUCCUUAGAGAGUUUCGCAUACCAGAUAUAAUAAAAACAGGAUAACUACAUUAUAGUUAUAAAGACGAUGACGUCUUUUCUAAAUUCACAUUUUCGUUCGAUCAUUUUAUUAUUUUAAGAAUAUUAAUGAAGAUUCUAAUAAGAGAGAUUUUUUAUAUCGAUUUUUACGAUUGAAUUAAAAUUUAUGAUCCCGUUUCGUAUCCGAAUUAUCAUAGAUCGAUAAAAGAUACUUUUCGAUGGAGCAUAAGAGAGAAUACAACGGGUGGUGGAGAAAUUCAAGGUCAGCAUAUCGACGUUCCACGGAUCGAAGCACCUAGAAAUUCUGACUCCAUCGAGCGAAAGGUUCAAGGUCUCUCGAGAAUAUCGUCUCAGUUGUGCAAGACGAUUGCUUACUCGUUCAAACAGACCUUUCCCUAAUCACCCGUGAUAAGUAAUAACCAAUAAGUACAAUUCUCUGUAACGAGUUUCCUGCUUCACAAUGGAGAAUUAGGUCAAUGAAUUAAAUAAUUCUCGAGUAUACUUUUCACCACGAUUGUUUUAUAUUAAAUAGAAAAUAAUAGUAUUAUAUAGAAUAUUCGUGGACAAAGGUGCGCCGAAGAAGAGAAGAACGAUUGUUAACUGCCUACGCUUGACCUUCCUCAGUCGUUCGUUCUGGGACAAGAGAGAGAGAAAAGAAGAGAAAAAAGAAAGACAUUAAAGUAACAUAAUUACGUCAUGAUACUUUUUCGAGAAGGCGUAAUUACGUUCUUAAUAUACAUAUACAUACAUAAGUUAGCAUUUAUUUAUUAUUAAGUACGCGUUUAAGAAAUGAUCGACUACGUGCGAAACGAAAGGUUAAAAAUAUUUCCUUUGAACUUUUGUCCUUUAUCGUUAUCGCGGAAACAAAUAAUAUUCUAGAAUUACUCGAAGAUGAAAAAGAAAAAGAAUAUAUUAUAGAAGACGAUUGUAAUCAUACUCAUUCAAUGUUAUCUUUUUCUGUUCUAUCUAGUCUACCGAGUUUAACUUGUCAUUUAACUGACACUCGCUUUUAUUAUUUAAUGGAAGAACAGGUAUAUUGGACAUGGCGGGAGGUGAACUCGUUCACGUUUUUAUGCGGUUUUAUGGACGUGAAUGCCGUCACGAUGUCAUGCGAGAAGAAGGUGCGAGCUUGCGGUCCCAGUUCUGCGUCUUCUAGUUCUGAUACGGAUAAAUCUGUAAAUUACUUAUCGACACUCUCGAUAACGGUCAUCCUUGGGUGAUAUAAAUUAUUUAUAAGAAGAUUCGCGUUGCAAGACGCUCUGGCAAUUUGUAAUUGUAAUUUAUUUUGCCUAUGUGGAGAGUGUUACACGUACUUACUUGUUAGACAAGCGGACGGCCAACUAACGCAAUUAUAUACCGGAUUCGUUCUACGAACGUGUGUACCUACGUUCACGAGCUCGAGAGAAUCUAGCGCUGCCUUAUCCGUGAUAAAACGUUUAUAUGUACAUAGAACACGUUGACUUGUUUCGUAUAUUUCAAAGUAUUAUACCUAUAUUAAAACUUUACAAUUCUCACGAGAAUAAUAGAUACGAUAUUUUAUUUAAAAAUAUCGAUUAUCGUGGAAUUUCAUCUAAUAGAAGAGAAGAGAUGAGAAGAGAAGAGAAGAGAAAAAAAAAUACUCGUUUGAGUUUUGGACAAGCGUGGGUGCUUCGAAAGUACACCGAUACGUAUACCACCCACAUGCCUAUCGUCAUUAUCCUCGACGUCCAAAUAUUUUCUACAUUCUUUCCAUCGAAUUGUCUAAUAAGUUUCUAUAGCACGCCACUCAUCCCACCUCUCUCAUUUUUAAUGAGAGAAAUUUAUUACGAAAGAAUACCAAUUUUCUCUCGGUAUAUACGCUAUUUCGUUUAUCUUUUAUUUCUGCAGCUCUCUUUUCUUUUUUUUUCUGCGCCUUCCCUCGCAAAAUUUUUGCUUCAAAUAUCAUAGCUAAAAAAAAAAAAAAAAAAAAAAGAAAAAAGAGAAAAAAAGAGAAAAAGAAAAACAAAUGCUCGAUGAGUUUUCACGGAUAAAAUUAAGAUAUUUUAAGAUGAACGACCGAAAGAUUUUUUUUUCCUUUUCGACAAUUGAGAUUGUUUUCUUUUUUAUUUUGUUUCUUUUGUUUUUAAUUCUUUUUUCGAAGACGAAGAAAAUAAAAUAAUUCAACGAAGUCGUUCGCAGAACGAGGACGAGGCUUCGUCGGACGGCGACUGAAAAGACGGAGGAAAUGACGUCACAUUAUUAUGGUUACGGAUCUCCGUGGUCGGUUGCGGUUGACAAACCAAGCGUCUAUGAUUCCGUUCUCCUCCGAUCCCUUUUGCCAUCCUUUUUCUUCUCUAUAUUUUACCUUCUGCCUCUUCCUUUCUUCGAGGAUUGCUCUUUUGUUAGGACUUUGUUAUAUGAGAGUCCAAAGUAGCCUUUGCUUUCCAUCCGAGCAACCGACAUUCGAAACCAGAGAGCGACCACUCGAGUUGAAGAAAACAAGACGAUAUUUCGGUACUCUUUUCUAUUCGUGCGACGUUAACGUUUCGUUCGUUUUGCUUGAAGAUAGAAGAAUAUAAGAUAGAUAGAUAAAAAGAUGGAGAGAGAGAGAGAGAGAGAGAGAGAG